RNAcentral lists this ribosomal RNA (307 nucleotides) under uncultured Acinetobacter sp. RNAcentral describes it as "bacterial SSU rRNA". It matches the Rfam family "Bacterial small subunit ribosomal RNA", at positions 505 to 810 of the family's 1533-position model. The record is from RNAcentral. Lineage: Bacteria; Pseudomonadati; Pseudomonadota; Gammaproteobacteria; Moraxellales; Moraxellaceae.
GUGCCAGCAGCCGCGGUAAUACAGAGGGUGCGAGCGUUAAUCGGAUUUACUGGGCGUAAAGCGUGCGUAGGCGGCCAAUUAAGUCAAAAUGUGAAAUCCCCGAGCUUAACUUGGGAAUUGCAUUCGAUACUGGUUGGCUAGAGUAUGGGAGAGGAUGGUAGAAUUCCAGGUGUAGCGGUGAAAUGCGUAGAGAUCUGGAGGAAUACCGAUGGCGAAGGCAGCCAUCUGGCCUAAUACUGACGCUGAGGUACGAAAGCAUGGGAGCAAACAGGAUUAGAUACCCUGGUAGUCCAUGACCGUAAACGAU